GGAAUUCUGAGAACUAAUUUGCUAUUCGGUGACAUAAGAGGGGGAGUGCGCUUUGCUUUCCUGGGGUCUGGGGCUAAUUCCUCCUCUCUUACCCAUAAACUCAGCUCCUGGAGCUAAAUUACACGAAAGGGAGCGAGAGAUUCGAACCGUUGGGAAAAGCCUGUUAUAUAUACUAGGUUUAGAAGCGAAUUAGAGAAAAAACAAACACCACAGUUCUUUGCAGCUAGAAUAGUAGGCACCACGAGAAAAAUAUUUGCCAAGCAGUUUUCGAAGCCUAUCUGAAGCCGGCUUGAUGGCAGGGAGAGCUGGAGAGCGGAAGAAUGUGCAGCGGGAGGGAGUGCUUGGUACUUUUCCAUUCACAUCUCCACAGUGGCUUUUCUUGUUUAUUUCAGCCUCCACCCGCAGGAACCUUUCUGCUGCUUGAAAUUCGAGUCAUUAAACUGUUCCCUGUGGUCAGACUACA
Long non-coding RNA from Myotis myotis, 463 nucleotides. RefSeq lists it as uncharacterized. The record is from RefSeq and is a predicted model, not a curated record. NCBI's taxonomy places the organism in Eukaryota, Metazoa, Chordata, Mammalia, Chiroptera, Vespertilionidae. The transcript has 2 exons.